UUCUCGAUGGCCUCGUCUUCAAUGAAGUAAAGCUUGAUGGCAGUGUUGUUCUCCUCUAAGACCCUGUACAGAGUAUGAGCAUUUGGGAUGUCACAUCCUUGACUUAUCAGCCUGUCUGCGGUUCUUUUUAGGGUUGUCAAGGUCAAGUCAAUGACCAGUUUACUCUCCAAAACUAAUUACUGUAUCCUUUUAAUCACUAUGUAGUAAAAUGAACGUGAACUUGCAGAUAAUACUCCUAAAUAUGUCAGUACAAACCAGUCGGCUAGUGAACAUGAACCCCUCACGCACCAGUUGCCAAGGCAGUAUACUGUAUG
Coregonus clupeaformis (lake whitefish) is the source of this 314-nucleotide long non-coding RNA. RefSeq lists it as uncharacterized. The record is from RefSeq and is a predicted model, not a curated record. The transcript has 3 exons. Lineage: Eukaryota; Metazoa; Chordata; Actinopteri; Salmoniformes; Salmonidae.